AACGAACGCUGGCGGCAGGCUUAACACAUGCAAGUCGAGCGCCCGCAAGGGAGCGGCAGACGGGUGAGUAACGCGUGGGAAUCUACCUAGUUCUACGGAACAACACAGGGAAACUUGUGCUAAUACCGUAUACGCCCUACGGGGGAAAGAUUUAUCGGAAUUAGAUGAGCCCGCGUUGGAUUAGCUAGUUGGUGGGGUAAUGGCCUACCAAGGCGACGAGCCAUAGCUGGUCUGAGAGGAUGAUCAGCCACACUGGGACUGAGACACGGCCCAGACUCCUACGGGAGGCAGCAGUGGGGAAUAUUGGACAAUGGGCGAAAGCCUGAUCCAGCCAUGCCGCGUGAGUGAUGAAGGCCUUAGGGUUGUAAAGCUCUUUCAGUAGGGAAGAUAAUGACGGUACCUACAGAAGAAGCCCCGGCUAACUUCGUGCCAGCCGCCGCAGUAA
RNAcentral lists this ribosomal RNA (445 nucleotides) under uncultured bacterium. RNAcentral describes it as "partial 16S ribosomal RNA". It matches the Rfam family "Bacterial small subunit ribosomal RNA", at positions 29 to 523 of the family's 1533-position model. The record is from RNAcentral.